This 253-nucleotide ribosomal RNA is filed under the name uncultured bacterium. Its description in RNAcentral is "partial 16S ribosomal RNA". It matches the Rfam family "Bacterial small subunit ribosomal RNA", at positions 524 to 776 of the family's 1533-position model. The record is from RNAcentral.
UACGGAGGGUGCAAGCGUUAUCCGGAUUCACUGGGUUUAAAGGGUGCGUAGGAGGGCAGGUAAGUCAGUGGUGAAAUUCCCGGGCUUAACUUGGGAUCUGCAUCUGAUACUGCCUUGCUUGAGUACGGAAGAGGGGAGCGGAAUUCCCAGUGUAGAGGUGAAAUGCGCAGAUAUCGGGAGGAACACCAAUGGCGAAGGCAGCUCGCUGGGCAACAACUGACGCUGAGGAGCGAAAGCGUGGGGAGCGAACAGG